Molecule: ribosomal RNA, 1205 nt
Filed under: Paraphysomonas vestita
Lineage: Eukaryota; Chrysophyceae; Chromulinales; Paraphysomonadaceae
Description: partial Bacterial large subunit ribosomal RNA
Rfam family: Bacterial large subunit ribosomal RNA
Source: RNAcentral
AGGCAAACUCCGAAUACCGAAGAGUACAGCUUGGGAGACAGAGCACCGGGUGCUAACGUCCGGACUCAAGAGGGAAACAACCCAGACCGCCAGCUAAGGUCCCUAAAAUUGGCUAAGUGGGAAACGAAGUGGGAAGGCUAAAACAGUCAGGAUGUUGGCUUAGAAGCAGCCAUCAUUUAAAGAAAGCGUAAUAGCUCACUGAUCGAGUCGUCCUGCGCGGAAGAUGUAACGGGGCUAAGCCAGUUACCGAAGCUGCGGAUUUGCAAUUUAUUGCAAGUGGUAGGAGAGCGUUCUGUAAGCCUGUGAAGGUGUCUUGUAAAGGAUGCUGGAGGUAUCAGAAGUGCGAAUGCUGACAUGAGUAGCGUUAAAGGGGGUGAAAAGCCCCCUCGCCGUAAGCGCAAGGUUUUCUACGCAACGUUCAUCGGCGUAGAGUGAGUCGGCCCCUAAGGCGAGGCAGAGAUGCGUAGCUGAUGGGAAGCAGGUUAAUAUUCCUGCACCGUCGUAUGAUGCGAUGGGGGGACGGAUCGCGGAAGGUUGUCCGGGUGUUGGAUGUCCCGGUCCCUGCAUUGGAGAUGGCACUUAGGCAAAUCCGGGUGCGUGAUUCAAGGGUGUGGGGCGAGCGACUUUAGGUCGCGAAGCAAUUGGAAGUGGUUCCAAGAAAAGCCUCUAAGCUUCAGUCAUACGAGACCGUACCGCAAACCGACACAGGUGGGCGAGAUGAGUAUUCUAAGGCGCUUGAGAGAACUCGGGAGAAGGAACUCGGCAAAUUGGUACCGUAACUUCGGGAUAAGGUACGCCCUUGUAGUUUGACUGGCUCGCGCCAGAAGGACGAAGGGGUUGCAAUAAAAUGGUGGCUGCGACUGUUUAAUAAAAACACAGCACUCUGCAAACACGAAAGUGGACGUAUAGGGUGUGACGCCUGCCCGGUGCUGGAAGAUUAAAUGAUGGGGUGCAAGCUCUUGAUUGAAGUCCCAGUAAACGGCGGCCGUAACUAUAACGGUCCUAAGGUAGCGAAAUUCCUUGUCGGGUAAGUUCCGACCUGCACGAAUGGUCUAAUGAGUUGUACACUGUCUCCUCCACGAGCCCGGUGAAAUUGUAGUAUCGGUGAAGAUGCCGGUUACCCGCCACGGGACGGAAAGACCCCGUGAACCUUCACUACAACUUUGCAUUGAUUUUGAGCAACAAAUGUGUAGGAUAGUUGGGAG